AGCAGCCGCGGUAAUUCCAGCUCCAAUAGCGUAUAUUAAAGUUGUUGCAGUUAAAAAGCUCGUAGUUGAAUUUCGGGGUCAGUAGGUUGGUCAUGCCUUCGGUAUGUACUGGUCUCACUGAUUCCUCCCUCUUGAAGAACUGUAAUGUCAUUAAUUUGGUGUUGCGGGGAAACAGGACUGUUACUUUGAAAAAAUUAGAGUGUUUAAAGCAGGCUCACGCUUGAAUACAUUAGCAUGGAAUAAUGAAAUAGGACGAUCGAUCCUAUUUUGUUGGUUUCUAGGAUUGACGUAAUGAUUAAUAGGGAUAGUUGGGGGCAUUAGUAUUCAAUUGUCAGAGGUGAAAUUCUUGGAUUUAUUGAAGACUAACUACUGCGAAAGCAUUUGCCAAGGAUGUUUUCAUUAAUCAAGAACGAAAGUUAGGGGAUCGAAGACGAUCAGAUACCGUCGUAG
This 450-nucleotide ribosomal RNA is filed under the name uncultured Glomeromycotina. RNAcentral's name for it is "SSU rRNA". It matches the Rfam family "Eukaryotic small subunit ribosomal RNA", at positions 569 to 1023 of the family's 1831-position model. Lineage: Eukaryota; Fungi; Glomeromycota. The record is from RNAcentral.